Pelobates cultripes (western spadefoot toad) is the source of this 390-nucleotide non-coding RNA. NCBI's taxonomy places the organism in Eukaryota, Metazoa, Chordata, Amphibia, Anura, Pelobatidae. The record is from the annotation of a GenBank genome assembly.
CGAGAUUGGAAGUUCCCACUGUGUGGAGGCCAUCUUCUUGAACGUCGGGAACAAGAACCUUGUUUGGCCUAGAGUAGAAAAAGAAACCAGGAUAAAGUUCCGACUGCCCUAAUUUCCGAAGAAUCCUUGGAAAUAGUGUCAGCGUAAGAAAGACGUAUGCCAGCUUGACAUUACAUUUCAAUGAUAGUAUCUCUAAUCAUCGAAGGGACCUGCUCUGAACAGGGAGGUAACUUGGGGAACCUGGCUUCUGUAAUGCUUGCCCUAAGGGUCAAGUCUGGAAAAUCAAACUUCCUCUCCAGAACAUAAAACAACACAUGUACCUCAGGACCAAACUCUCUGAUUCCAAUUACCCCUGCCAAGCUUGACGGCUAUGUAAUUGUCGAUCCCUCU